Molecule: small RNA, 130 nt
Filed under: Marmota monax (woodchuck)
Lineage: Eukaryota; Metazoa; Chordata; Mammalia; Rodentia; Sciuridae
Source: RNAcentral
GCUGGGUAUGGUGGUGGUGCAUGCCUGUAAUCCUAGCCACUAGGGAGGCUGAGGCAGGAGGGUUGCAAAUUCAAGAGCAGCCUUAGUUACUUAGCAAGGCCUUAAACAAAUUAGUGAGACUCUGUCUCAA